This 310-nucleotide long non-coding RNA is filed under the name Phoenix dactylifera (date palm). Its description in RNAcentral is "long non-coding RNA (PDAC_LNC009189)". Lineage: Eukaryota; Viridiplantae; Streptophyta; Magnoliopsida; Arecales; Arecaceae. The record is from RNAcentral.
UGAGUGUAGGUGAUCGUAAAUCGAGGCCAAAAUGCACAUUCAGUACAGAUUGGGCUUAGACAGAUGCAUAACUCAGACCGCGUAUGCCCAACCUCGUCAUGGUCUGAUCGAAUUCACCAUUCAUCGAGUAUAUUUGUACCCAAGUGUGGAGUGAUUGAUUAUAACCCUAUUUGAUUUUGAUGCGCUCAAAGCAUUUGAGUAUUUCUUAUGAGUACUAAUGAAUUCAAUCUAGUGUUUCAGUGAAAAUCUUGUAAAUUUUAUGGUUAAGUGUCUCUAGAUUUGGUUAAGACAUUUUGGAUAAGUUAAGAAG